GCAGAUCACAUAUAUUCCGAGAAAGUGGCUUAGGCAUUUACCGAAUGGUCAAUUUAUAAAUUGCAUUUAUGAAUUUAUACGCGCCAAUAUACAUUAUUCACAGCUUCAUAUAUAUAAUGGUGUCUGGGUACAUACUCAUUGUGUCGGAUGACGCGUGCUGUGUAUGAAGAAGUUUGUGUUUAAGCUUACAAUGAACACGAAAUAAGUUAAGCAAUAAAACGCGGUGGGAGCUUUUGCUGCAUAAACCACAAUUGCCAGUGAAAAAAUACUUGUGUUAUUGUUAUUGUUCGUUAUUUCCUUUAAUUUUCACCAACGCAUUUUCGAAGCGCUGCUGUACAGCAUUGAGAUGUACAAUGUGCGACAAAAACUGCAAAUACAACACAAACAAAACCAGACGGUGCACCAACGGUGGCAAGAGCAACAACACCAUCAGCAGCUGCACAUGGAUGUUUAAUCUUGUGGCGGUUGCCUUAUUAAUCCAACAUGUCGCCUGCGCUGCAACAGCUAUCGAGGCGACAACACCGGCAACACGGGCGUUGUCAAAGGCGCUCACCGAUUCCCUACCAUCCGCAUUUGUACCCACAGCCCAGCUGUUGAGGCGCCAUGGCGAUAACGGUAGCAGUAGCAGCAACAAAAACUCACCCACACAGGCUGAUUCCGGGAGCCGCGCUACGAGCCGCCACCUCAGCGCCAUUGAGUCCAACGCCGGCGGUGUCAGCAGUAUCGUUGCCGGCGACGAUGGUGUGGAUUUCGCUGCCUAUGCAAAUGAUUUCAAUAUGCAAGCUGAAGCUGCUAUACCCGAGGAUAUUUUGGACCAACAACACAUACAAGAUGUCGAUGCCACUGAUGCGGACAGUAUGCAAUAUGUUGGAGAUGGCGAUGGCGAUGGUGAUGGCGACGAGGCUGUUGAACCCGAAGCUGAUAUUAUACUUGCAGCGCAAAAAUUCAGCACUUCAGAAAGCAGUCGUGAGAAAGAAGAAUAUUACGAGCAUAACAACAACAAUGGAGACAAUAAAAACAAAGGCAGCAACAACAAAAGCGCACAGCUAAGGAAAACUGUAAGAAAGCGAAACAACAAAUUGAAAAACAAUGCAGACAACAGCUAUAACAACAAUAACAAAAAUGAUGACACAAAAUAUGACAGUGACAACACAGCUGUCUACAAUGAUGAUGCUUCCAUGGACGAAGCGGAUGCGUCGGACAUCACGGCUGAGGAGCCAUUGGCGCUGCCCAGCGUGACCGAAGCAAGGCAAAGUUUUGUAUUGACGCGACAUCCAAGAGGACAACAAAAUCACAAAUUAAUAGCAGCAGAGGACGCACAAAGUUAUGAAGAGCAGAGCCGAGACGUGACCGCGCGGCAUCAGCAAUUUAUUGAAAACUUAGUUGCAGAAAAAUUUAAUAAAGCAACGGGACAAACGGUAAACAAUGAUGACAAAGCGAACGACAACAGGCACAACAACAAUAACAACUUAACGAAAAAUGCUGGCAUAAAUGGCUCUGCUGUUGACGAGCAAAGCGAAAGCAUCCAGAACACUGCUAUAAAUAAAGGCAACAAUAUGAGUAAACAAGUAAACAAUAAAUCAGAAAUGGAGUACACGGACGAUAAUCAACCGGAGGAAACGGCGAUCGGCGAUAUCGAGGACAAGUUUCGUAAUGAAGAAGAUGCCGUCGGGCAGCAACAACAGCAGCACUUGCAAAGGGAGCUGCACGGCCAUCAAACGGCAUCGAUUGCAAAGCAAAGCCGAGAGGGCAAGGCAGAAGCGAGGCUAACGUCUAUGAGCGGCAUGCAUGUAGAAGAAGAUCAUCGACAAAUUAAAAAAUUCAAGCGCAAUGAAAGAGCCAGCAGCAGCAGUGCCAACGACCAUGCUAACAAAAACAAUAAAAAUGGCAACCAAGACAACAACAACAGUCACUCGUAUAAACGCCAUCACCACGGCGAACUCGCUCACAUCGAAGGCGAAUAUGAGGCAGGCACGUUCACGCAAAUGUCGGACGCAGAGAAAGUUGAAACGUCUGAAAACCAACCCAGGCAUGUGCAACAACUACAAAAACUUCCGCAGCACGUUGAAGUUGCUGACAGCGUUGGUGCGGUGGCAGAGCCACAAGCCGAUUACUCAAUAACCUAUUUUGGCAUCUUAACAAACAGCUCGAAGAAGCGCGAAAAGGCGUUCGCCGAGGAGCAAGCAGAUGCGGAUGAGCUCGAGAACACCGUUAGAAACUCGGCCAAAACAGCAGACAUUGUUGCAAAAACUGCUGACAACGACGAUGCGGCCGAACUUGGUGCUGUGCAUGCAACACGAAAUCAGUUGCAACAACAACAACAAUCGCUAACGGGUAAAGUGGCCGAUGCUGGCGAGCUUCAUGCAGCACACUCCUCGUCCUUUGAGCGCUACAAGGCGCAACGUCGGAACAGUCGGCGCUACGGACAUAAAAUGUACAAGAAAAAAUAUAAGGAUUACCUGCGUCAUGCAACGAUAGCCUCCUUGACAGCUAAAGCAAUGACAACAGCAAUUGACGCAGCAACAAUAACAGCAGCGCCGCACAUGUCGACAGGAUUGCCGCCUAUGGGAAAUGCAUUUGAAAUGAGUGCUAAGCACACACUCAACUCGACACAGGCGAAGUUGACAAAUGACAACUACACCGAUUACUAUCGGGAACAACAACAAACAAGGGAGAAUAUUGCUAACGCUAGAGAGCAAAAACAUGCAGAAACGUUAAGAAAAUAUGCAAGGAAAAUUGAAGCGGAAAAAUCACGUGGAUUACCAGCAUCACCAAUAUUUGUUGUAGGCAAUCAGAGCGCUGGUAAGUUGGCUACAAGCAAAGCGAACAGCGAACGGUCCACAGGUGGAGACACAAAACAUUUCUACGAAGGGCAGGUAAACUAUUACUUAGAGACGGCGGACGACGAGGGUAUGCAGACUAAAGCAGCGUCGAUGAAAAGCUACAAGCCAACUGGCGUCGAAGGAGAGGGUACGACUAUUACUGAGGUAGCGCUGUCUAGAGAAGAAGAGGAGCGUUUGCGUGCACACGAACUUAGCAUGGAGCACAUGAUAGCAGCGGACAAUAAUAACUGGUACCGACGUGUAAGCCCGGUGCUACGUAAUGGCAUUAAAGUCUACGGCAACGAAGACAAAGUGCAGCGCGAGAAAGCAGCCAGCCAACUACCGCAUGUGCAGGAGCAACAGCAUCAUCAACACCUGCAACGACAACACGCCGCAAAACAACAUCAACAUUAUCACACACACCACGGAAAACAUUGGAGUCAUCAUCAUCGACUGCACACGCCACCAUAUCAGCAUCGACAACAACACCACGACUCCCAUCAACAUAGAGGUGGCAGCGGUAAUCAUCACAAGCAUCAUCAAAAUAGUAAACAUUAUCAAUCAAGCGAUAGACAGCUCCAGCAACAACAUCCAACUGAUUCCAAUGAACGGAAACUACAUGAUCCACCCUCACCACACGCCGCAGACACACAGGCGGCAGUGGAGUUGGGCAUGGUGCAGACACCGAUACCGCCACCCUCAUAUAAAAAACAACAUCUGAAGCAAACUGAGCACGAGAGGGUGAAACAGGGAGCGCUUCAACUGGGCCAUCAAAUCACAGAAUUGGAGGAGUUGGAACGCUACUAUGCCAAGUGGCCCCACUUGGCACGCGUACAGUUUCAGUUGUACGAUGAACACUUCCGCGAGGACCACCCUGAACUUUAUCCCGAACUAAAGGUCGGCGCUAGCGACUUGGCUGAUGCUGCAGAAGACUACGACGAUGAUUAUGAGAGCGCUGCCGAGUUGGAGGAAGCACAGAAUAGUCAUGAUGAAGACGCAAACUUGCCGCCAUACAUUAAGAAGUACAACAGACGCAAUAAGCAAUUGCUGAAUUUGCUUGAAGGCACUCUGCCGCCACCGACGCGUCUUCCACCUACUUUGGGGCGCAGUUGGUCUAGUUCGGUACUGCAGCCGGGACCGCAUGCAAGCAGUCGAAGCGCAGGCGGUAGCAGUACUGCGGGUAGAAUACGCAUCGAUGACGACUACCUAAAGGAGAAACGCAAGCGCUAUCAUAAUCGUGAUAUCAGCAGCGCUGACAGUAGCAGCAUUAGUGCAAGUAACAACAAUAACCGCAAGGAGGACCGACAUCACUAUCAAGAUUUAUUUGCACAGCAACGACUGACGCAAAUUGCUACUACCCAGACGACAGGGGAAACAACAGGUGUGUUGACAAAAUCUGAGGCAAUCUCCGCCAACCCAGAUGUGAGCGGCAAGUCAGAUGUAAUCAGCACCUACAAAACGGCAGCACAAUCAGACAACAAGCUGCCAGACGAGGAUGUCAGCAUUUCAGCCGACACAGACAUCGACGCUUAUGCUGCCGACGAUGGCGACAUUGACUUUUGGCAAAAGGAAAUCGAAAAUAAAUCGAAUGCAAACGAAUUGGCAGGAAGCGCACAAAUGAGAUGGCAAAUCGAAAAAUUAACAACACCCAACCCCGCGCACGCUGCCACAGUGUCGAGCGCACCAAAAGCAGCAAUUUUUCGUUUGCCCUCAUAUCCGGCCAUCGCUGGCAGUUUUAUCGGCAAGCCACGCAGUCGUAGCGCGCAAUUCGCACCGAGCGGCGGCAGUCGUGGCAAACUAGCGUUUUUAGCGCCAGCCAGUAGUGAGCUCAAUGGUAACAGAUGGGGCAAUAUAUAUGGCCUAGGCGGUGAAAAUGGUACAAGUGCUGCUGGUAAUGUUGGAGUCAAUGGUCUUGGCACACGCGGCAGUUACCACAAAUCGUUGUCACGUUUCAGCGCUUAUAAACCGAGUGUUUAUAAAACGUUAACCGCUGCAGCAGCAGCCGCUUCAACCACGACGACGACCCCCAGAGUCAACGGUGAUGAUGGCAUGAAUGGUGACGACUCGGCAGCCACAACAACUACUGCGGUUGCGGCAACGCCGAGUGGCUUUGGUAGUGAUGACGCUGAUGGCGCAGAGGGGGGAGUGGCUAAUGCCGUUAUGGGACGUACUAUUAGCUCGUUUGUCUACCACCGUGUGAUUGAUGCGUCACCGCGACAAGUGGGUACCGGUAAUACGGGGCGCAAGCAACGAUUGCCAUUUGUGGCUAUCACUGAUCGUCGGCUGGAGACCACAAAGAAGGCGCAGCUGGAACGACAGAAAGAUUUCGAACAAAAUCACUACCCAAUGCCUUAAAUUCACUGCACUUCAAUGACUGCGGCAGCGAAAGAGACGUGGACGGAGACGACCCGGACAAGCAGCACAAAACAAACAAACAUUCACAUCAGGACCGAAACGCAAACGAUAAUAAAAAAUGUUGACCAAGACGUUAAUGAAGAUGGAGAUGUAGAAAGUAAAAAAGAAGAAAACGAAAAUCGAAAAUCGAAAACAGUAAAUAGUAUUAACAGAAGUUUAAGACAGAAAAUAUUUAUAAAUAUGGAAAAAGGCAUGUGAUCUAUUAGUUGUAUUUGUGAAAAAGUGUUGAUUGCCGUAAUAUUGCGCUGCAUUUCAAGUUUUUCAUUUUAUUCUAUAAUUAAUUGUGGUGGAAUCGUUAGAUUUAAGUUUUCGUAAAACGCAUUCAAUUUUACCACAGAUAUGGUAUGAGACAGCUUUAUGGAGGCUGGUGUGAGAAUUGGGCAAUGAGCGGUACCACGCCCAUUUUUGUGAAAUCCGAUACCUCGGGACCUAACCAAUCGAUGUCGACAAAAAUUGUUUCCAGUACACAAAUUAAGCAGCAAUUAAUACAACGCGAUGCAACAUUUAAAGUCAAAGGGCAAGGUUGUACUUGUUAUUAGUAACUUGGGAAUAUUCAAUUUUACUCAAACACAAACCUGCAGCACUUUCUAAGUAUCCUCCAACUGCCGUCUGCCACUAAAGUAGGUCACAAAUGGCACCACGGGGCGUAUGCGUAACAUUUUACAUUUCAUUUGUUGGGUAAAAGUCUACAACAAAAAAUGGUCAAAUAUUAUUAUAAAUUUAGUUAAUGCCUAACAAAUAAAUAAUGUUUUGUUCAAUGCAUGAUUUGACCCUUCGCUAUUAUGUUAUUGGACAACCACAGCACAUAAAUGUACACUUUCAAUAUUCACCACUUGUGUCAUGGCAUUCGCUGAAUUUAUCGUAAUAAUUCAUAUAUUAAAACUAACAAUAGUAUUUGCUGCAAUUGUAGAAUAGUUUUCAACAGAAGCAUUAUUUAUAGUUUUUUUAAUGUGCGACUUUUGAUUUAUGUAUGUUGGUGCGUAGGCAGACUAACAGCGAGAUUUAAAUCUCUUUAAUUUAAAAGCUUUAUGAAAGCACGU
This 6277-nucleotide unclassified non-coding RNA is filed under the name Bactrocera tryoni. RNAcentral describes it as "uncharacterized LOC120773776, transcript variant X6". The record is from RNAcentral. Lineage: Eukaryota; Metazoa; Arthropoda; Insecta; Diptera; Tephritidae.